This 296-nucleotide unclassified non-coding RNA is filed under the name uncultured Nematoctonus. Its description in RNAcentral is "sequence contains ITS2". The stretch from base 1 to 52 matches the Rfam family "5.8S ribosomal RNA", at positions 103 to 154 of the family's 154-position model. The record is from RNAcentral. Lineage: Eukaryota; Fungi; Basidiomycota; Agaricomycetes; Agaricales; Pleurotaceae.
AACGCACCUUGCGCCCUUUGGUAUUCCGAAGGGCAUGCCUGUUUGAGUGUCAUUAAAUUCUCAAUCUUAUUAGGCUUUUUGUCUAAUAAGACUUGGAUGUGGAGGCUGCGGGCUUGUCUUCAAGUCGGCUCCUCUGAAAUGUAUUAGCUGGGUUUGCGCCUUCAGCCUAUUGGUGUGAUAAUUAUCUACGCCUCUUGGGUCGCUAGCGUGUAUUGACUUUCCAGCUUCUAAUCGUCCGCAAGGACAAUUUUGAACCAUUUGACCUCAAAUCAGGUAGGACUACCCGCUGAACUUAA